GGAUUAGAUACCCUGGUAGUCCACGCUGUAAACGAUGUCGACUUGGAGGUUGUGCCCUUGAGGUGUGGCUUCCGGAGCUAACGCGUUAAGUCGACCGCCUGGGGAGUACGGCCGCAAGGUUAAAACUCAAAUGAAUUGACGGGGGCCCGCACAAGCGGUGGAGCAUGUGGUUUAAUUCGAUGCAACGCGAAGAACCUUACCUGGUCUUGACAUCCACGGAAGUUUUCAGAGAUGAGAAUGUGCCUUCGGGAACCGUGAGACAGGUGCUGCAUGGCUGUCGUCAGCUCGUGUUGUGAAAUGUUGGGUUAAGUCCCGCAACGAGCGCAACCCUUAUCCUUUGUUGCCAGCGGUCCGGCCGGGAACUCAAAGGAGACUGCCAGUGAUAAACUGGAGGAAGGUGGGGAUGACGUCAAGUCAUCAUGGCCCUUACGACCAGGGCUACACACGUGCUACAAUGGCGCAUACAAAGAGAAGCGACCUCGCGAGAGCAAGCGGACCUCAUAAAGUGCGUCGUAGUCCGGAUUGGAGUCUGCAACUCGACUCCAUGAAGUCGGAAUCGCUAGUAAUCGUGGAUCAGAAUGCCACGGUGAAUACGUUCCCGGGCCUUGUACACACCGCCCGUCACACCAUGGGAGUGGGUUGCAAAAGAAGUAGGUAGCUUAACCUUCGGGAGGGCGCUUACCACUUUGUGAUUCAUGACUGGGGUGAAGUCGUAACAAGGUAACCGUAGGGGAACCUGCGGUUGGAUCACCUCCUUA
RNAcentral lists this ribosomal RNA (758 nucleotides) under Escherichia coli. RNAcentral describes it as "partial 16S ribosomal RNA". It matches the Rfam family "Bacterial small subunit ribosomal RNA", at positions 775 to 1533 of the family's 1533-position model. Lineage: Bacteria; Pseudomonadati; Pseudomonadota; Gammaproteobacteria; Enterobacterales; Enterobacteriaceae. RNAcentral also lists the same sequence under 1 other name. The record is from RNAcentral.